RNAcentral lists this long non-coding RNA (922 nucleotides) under Homo sapiens (human). RNAcentral describes it as "non-protein coding NR2F1-AS1:24". The record is from RNAcentral. Lineage: Eukaryota; Metazoa; Chordata; Mammalia; Primates; Hominidae.
GCGCUUCCUGGUCUCUCCAGCCUACAAGUCGGGAGUCGGCGACCGCUUAGUGACGAGCGAUGAUUUUAAAGAGCAGAAUAAAAGGUUUUCCCGUGCCUGCCCCACAGCCCCUCCAGCUCGAAUAAUGGAGAACUGUCAAUGCACUCCGCGAGCGGUGGCCCAUUGUACGCAGCUGAUGGCGAGGAGGCGACUGGGGGUAGCAGGGGCUCCUUGCCCUCGUCCCUAUGCCCAAAUAAACGCGCAAACGCGCUCCCGUCUUCUGGUCAGUUAAAAGGUGAAACGAACACGAUUAAAAUAGACCAAAAGAAAAGAAAGAAAAGAAAACCUUUCUAUGUACAGAUUCUAAAUCGUACUCCCCAUACAGUCAGAGGCAGGGAGUCGAGGGCAGAGGCAGCAGGCGGAGAGAGGGAGAUAGGGCGAGGGAAGGAGAACGCGGAGAGAGACGAAGGGAGUGGGAGACCAGCGACAGCGAGCGCCAGGGCACCGCAGGCACACUGGAUGCCCAGUCCGCCGGCCCAGCCGCCCUCGGACCCUGGACCGUGCGUCGUGGGCACCAGAAACGAGACUCGGCCAAAUCCUGCCUCACCAGCAGGUAGAUGAAACUCAAGAGAAAAGGUGUGGAUAAAUGAAACUAGCCCAUGAUGAACCUGUUUUCUCCGUGACCACAAUAUUAACCAGGAUGAAUGGCGGUGGCAGUGGGCCUGCAUCACAGGUUGCAGCAGAUGUUCUCAAUAUUUCUAUUAAAAUUUCCUUAUUUCCAUAUGCAAGAGGAGCCCCAGAGCUGCAUCCUUAUGGUAGCUACCAUGCCGUGAUGUAAGCUGCCAUUCACUGGGGAGCUUUGGCAAUAGAAUUGGCUAGAUCAGGAAGCCUAUGUCAACUAUGGAACAACAACUUGCAGCUCAUCUCUAUUGAUGGUGAGUCA